GACGGGGGCCCGCACAAGCGGAGGAACAUGUGGUUUAAUUCGAUGAUACGCGAGGAACCUUACCUGGGCUUAAAUGUAGAUUGCAUGAGGUGGAAACACUUCUUCCCUUCGGGGCUAUUUACAAGGUGCUGCAUGGUUGUCGUCAGCUCGUGCCGUGAGGUGUCGGGUUAAGUCCCAUAACGAGCGCAACCCUUAUCGUUAGUUGCCAGCGGGUAGAGCCGGGGACUCUAGCGAGACUGCCACCGUAAGGUGAGAGGAAGGUGGGGAUGACGUCAAAUCAGCACGGCCCUUAUGUCCAGGGCUACACACGUGUUACAAUGGCCGAUACAAAGGGCAGCUACUUCGCGAGAAGAUGCUAAUCUCUAAAAGUCGGUCCCAGUUCGGAUUGGAGUCUGCAACCCGACUCCAUGAAGUUGGAUUCGCUAGUAAUCGCGCAUCAGCCAUGGCGCGGUGAAUACGUUCCCGGGCCUUGUACACACCGCCCU
RNAcentral lists this ribosomal RNA (485 nucleotides) under uncultured bacterium. RNAcentral's name for it is "bacterial SSU rRNA". It matches the Rfam family "Bacterial small subunit ribosomal RNA", at positions 912 to 1396 of the family's 1533-position model. The record is from RNAcentral.